UAGCGUAAAACAUGUGAGAAACAUGUUCCCCGUAAACCUAAGGUUUCCGACGGAAGGUUAAUCCGCGUCGGGUUAGUCGGGCCUUAGCCGAGGCCGAAAGGCGUAGGUGAUGGACAACUGGUUAAUAUUCCAGUACCGCUUAUGUGGAGCGAUGAGGGGACGCAGUAUGGUAGGUCAGCCCGUCUAAAUGGACAUGUCGGGUCUAAACAUGUAGGGUGUUGAUGCAAGUAGGAAAAUCCGCUUGCUGAACCUGAAGUGUGAAUGCGAUGCCCAAUAGGGUAGAAGUGAUUGAGCCAAACUGCCAAGAAAAGCCUCUAAGCGUUGAGAUGUAAGCGCCCGUACCGCAAACCGACACUGGUAGGUGGGUAGAAGAUACCAAGGGGAUCGGGAGAACCCUCGUUAAGGAAUUAGGCAAAAUACAUCCGUAACUUCGGGAGAAGGAUGGCCCUUGACGGUUAGCAAUUAUGCAAAGCUGUUGGGGGCCGCAGAGAAAUGGCUCUUCCAACUGUUUAACAAAAACACAGGUCUCUGCUAAGUCGAAAGACGAAGUAUAGGGGCUGACGCCUGCCCAGUGCUGGAAGGUUAAGGGGAGAGGUUAGACGCAAGUCGAAGCUUUGAACCGAAGCCCCAGUGAACGGCGGCCGUAACGAUAACGGUCCUAAGGUAGCGAAAUUCCUUGUCGGGUAAGUUCCGACCCGCACGAAUGGCGUAAUGAGAGGAGCACUGUCUCAACGAGGGACCCGGCGAAAUUGAAGUACGUGUAAAGAUGCGCGUUACCCGCAGCGGGACAAAAAGACCCCGUGGAGCUUUACUACAACUUGGCAUUGGAUUAGGGCUUAACUUGUGUAGGAUAGGUGGGAGGCUAUGAAGCUGGGACGCCAGUCUCGGUGGAGCCAACGUUGAAAUACCACCCUGGUUAAGUUUUGAUUCUAACCUGCGUCCGUAAUCCGGCGUGGGAACAGUGCCUGGUGGGUAGUUUGACUGGGGCGGUCGCCUCCGAAAGAGUAACAGAGGCGCCCAAAGGUUCCCUCAGGCUGAAUGGAAACCAGCCAUAGAGUGUAAAGGCACAAGGGAGCUUGACUGCAAGACCUACAAGUCGCGCAGGGACGAAAGUCGGGCUUAGUGAUCCCACGGUACCGAGUGGAAGGGCCGUGGCUUACCGGAUAAAAGCUACCCCGGGGAUAACAGGGUAGUCUGGUCCAAGAGUUCAUAUCGACGACCAGGUUCGCCACCUCGAUGUCGGCUCAUCACAUCCUGGGGCUGGAUAAGGUCCCAAGGGUUGGGCUGUUCGCCCAUUAAAGUGGUACGUGAGCUGGGUUCAGACCGUCGUGAGACAGGUCGGUCUCUAUCCGCUGUGGGCGUAAGGGAUUUGCGAGGAGCUGCCCCUAGUACGAGAGGACCGGGGUGGACAGACCUCUGGUGUUCCAGUUGUUCCGCCAGGAGCAUUGCUGGGUAGCUAAGUCUGGCAGAGAUAACCGCC
This 1480-nucleotide ribosomal RNA is filed under the name metagenome. Its description in RNAcentral is "bacterial LSU rRNA". It matches the Rfam family "Bacterial large subunit ribosomal RNA", at positions 1307 to 2772 of the family's 2925-position model. The record is from RNAcentral.